GAUGAAGAACGCAGCGAAAUGCGAUACGUAGUGUGAAUUGCAGAAUUCAGUGAAUCAUCGAAUCUUUGAACGCACAUUGCGCCCCUUGGUAUUCCGAGGGGCAUGCCUGUUCGAGCGUCAUUAUAACCCUCAAGCUCAGCUUGGUGUUGGGGCCUGCUGCACUGGCAGCCCUUAAAAUCAGUGGCGGCGCCAUCUGGCUCUAAGCGUAGUAAUUCUUCUCGCUAUGGAGUCCUGGUGGAUGCUUGCCAUCAACCCCCAAUUUUUCUAUGGUUGACCUCGGAUCAGGUAGGGAUACCCGCUGAACUUAAGCAUAUCAAUAAGCGGAGGA
Molecule: unclassified non-coding RNA, 328 nt
Filed under: soil metagenome
Description: partial contains 5.8S ribosomal RNA, internal transcribed spacer 2, and large subunit ribosomal RNA
Rfam family: 5.8S ribosomal RNA (bases 1-120)
Source: RNAcentral